Molecule: ribosomal RNA, 697 nt
Filed under: uncultured Actinomycetes bacterium
Lineage: Bacteria; Bacillati; Actinomycetota; Actinomycetes
Description: bacterial SSU rRNA
Rfam family: Bacterial small subunit ribosomal RNA
Source: RNAcentral
GCGUAAGAGCUCGUAGGUGGUUAGUUACGUCGGAUGUGAAAAUCUAGGGCUCAACCCUAGACCUGCAUCCGAUACGGGCUAGCUUGAGUUUGGUAGGGGAGACUGGAAUUCCUGGUGUAGCGGUGGAAUGCGCAGAUAUCAGGAGGAACACCAAUGGCGAAGGCAGGUCUCUGGGCCAAUACUGACACUGAGGAGCGAAAGUGUGGGGAGCGAACAGGAUUAGAUACCCUGGUAGUCCACACAGUAAACGAUGGGCACUAGUUGUGGGAACCUUCCACGGUUUCUGCGACGCAGCUAACGCAUUAAGUGCCCCGCCUGGGGAGUACGAUCGCAAGAUUAAAACUCAAAGGAAUUGACGGGGCCCCGCACAAGCAGCGGAGCAUGCGGCUUAAUUCGACGCAACGCGAAGAACCUUACCAAGGCUUGACAUAUACAGGAAUAUGGCAGAGAUGUCAUAGCCGCAAGGUCUGUAUACAGGUGGUGCAUGGUUGUCGUCAGCUCGUGUCGUGAGAUGUUGGGUUAAGUCCCGCAACGAGCGCAACCCUCGUUCUGUGUUGCCAGCAUUUAGUUGGGGACUCACAGGAGACUGCCGGGGUCAACUCGGAGGAAGGUGGGGAUGACGUCAAAUCAUCAUGCCCCUUAUGUCUUGGGCUGCACGCAUGCUACAAUGGCUGGUACAAAGGGCUGCAAUACUGCA